CCGAGUGAGGGCCCUUUGGGUCCAACCUCCCACCCGUGUUUAUUUACCUUGUUGCUUCGGCGGGCCCGCCUUAACUGGCCGCCGGGGGGCUUACGCCCCCGGGCCCGCGCCCGCCGAAGACACCCUCGAACUCUGUCUGAAGAUUGUAGUCUGAGUGAAAAUAUAAAUUAUUUA
RNAcentral lists this unclassified non-coding RNA (174 nucleotides) under uncultured fungus. RNAcentral's name for it is "sequence contains ITS1, 5.8S rRNA gene". Lineage: Eukaryota; Fungi. The record is from RNAcentral.